Molecule: ribosomal RNA, 459 nt
Filed under: uncultured bacterium
Lineage: Bacteria
Description: partial 16S ribosomal RNA
Rfam family: Bacterial small subunit ribosomal RNA
Source: RNAcentral
CCUACGGGUGGCAGCAGUGAGGAAUAUUGGUCAAUGGGCGAGAGCCUGAACCAGCCAAGUCGCGUGAGGGAGUACUGCCCUAUGGGUUGUAAACCUCUUUUGUCGGGGAGCAAAAGCCGGACGUGUCCGGCUGUGAGAGUACCCGAAGAAAAAGCAUCGGCUAACUCCGUGCCAGCAGCCGCGGUAAUACGUAGGUGGCAAGCGUUGUCCGGAAUUACUGGGUGUAAAGGGAGCGUAGGCGGGAUGUCAAGUCAGAAGUGAAAAUUAUGGGCUCAACUCAUAACCUGCUUUUGAAACUGAUAUUCUUGAGUGAAGUAGAGGCAAGCGGAAUUCCUAGUGUAGCGGUGAAAUGCGUAGAUAUUAGGAGGAACACCAGUGGCGAAGGCGGCUUGCUGGGCUUUUACUGACGCUGAGACUCGAAAGCGUGGGGAGCAAACAGGAUUAGAUACCCUAGUAGUC